GCCUCUAUAGCUCAGUGGUAGAGCACUGGUCUCGUAAACCAGAGGUCGUGAGUUCAAUCCUCACUGAAGGCA
Ciona intestinalis (vase tunicate) is the source of this 72-nucleotide non-coding RNA. NCBI's taxonomy places the organism in Eukaryota, Metazoa, Chordata, Ascidiacea, Phlebobranchia, Cionidae. The record is from Rfam.